RNAcentral lists this ribosomal RNA (497 nucleotides) under uncultured bacterium. Its description in RNAcentral is "partial 16S ribosomal RNA". It matches the Rfam family "Bacterial small subunit ribosomal RNA", at positions 28 to 507 of the family's 1533-position model. The record is from RNAcentral.
GAUGAACGCUGGCGGCGUGCCUAAUACAUGCAAGUCGAGCGAACAGACGAGGAGCUUGCUCCUCUGUCGUUAGCGGCGGACGGGUGAGUAACACGUGGAUAACCUACCUAUAAGACUGGGAUAACUUCGGGAAACCGGAGCUAAUACCGGAUAAUAUAUUGAACCGCAUGGUUCAAUAGUGAAAGACGGUUUUGCUGUCACUUAUAGAUGGAUCCGCGCCGCAUUAGCUAGUUGGUACGGUAACGGCUUACCAAGGCAACGAUGCGUAGCCGACCUGAGAGGGUGAUCGGCCACACUGGAACUGAGACACGGUCCAGGCGCCUACGGGAGGCAGCAGUAGGGAAUCGUCCGCAAUGGGCGAAAGCUUGACGGAGCAACGCCGCGUGAGUGAUGAAGGUCUUCGGAUCGUAAAACUCUGUUAUUAGGGAAGAACAAAUGUGUAAGUAACUAUGCACGUCUUGACGGUACCUAAUCAGAAAGCCACGGCUAACUACGUG